This 438-nucleotide unclassified non-coding RNA is filed under the name Hevea brasiliensis (rubber tree). Lineage: Eukaryota; Viridiplantae; Streptophyta; Magnoliopsida; Malpighiales; Euphorbiaceae. The record is from RNAcentral.
GUAGAAUCUUGCAGUAAUGGUAGGCAUAGAUAUGGAACUGCAUUGUUUUGAGUGUCCUAUAGUUCUUAUAUUUUUCUUUUAGGAAUUAAAACUAUCUGUUGAAUGGAACUUGAAAGCCUGCAGGAAAGCUACUCUUCUACUUUAUCUCAUGUUAUGAGGAGAAGACUAUUGACUUGUUAUUUGUUACUUCUUUGUUGAAAUUGAACUUAUAGGAGCUCUGAACUGGCAAAAUAGGUGUAGGCUCUAGUAGCUUGUAUUUUGACUGUUCAGAUUGGCCAGAAUUGAAAAGUAGGAUUGCUACGGCAAUAUUUGUUCAAAUUGUUGAAGUUAGCAUGCAUGACUGUGCCUUUUGUGAUUUCUUUGGACAUUCUAUAGUAGCAGAUGCCUGGUAUACCUUUCCUCAUUUGCUGGAAAAAAAGAUAAUCUCCACAUCUGGAU